Molecule: non-coding RNA, 3809 nt
Organism: Lolium perenne
Lineage: Eukaryota; Viridiplantae; Streptophyta; Magnoliopsida; Poales; Poaceae
Source: RefSeq, a predicted model, not a curated record
ACCUAUAAUAGAUGCCCCCCAUAGGGGGUCUCGCAGCGCAUCCACCGCGACGUCCAUUUUCUAACCGUAGGAUGGAUCUUACUUUGCAUCUCAGCAGUCUAUAUUUUGACUGCGCGGGGAUAUAAAAUGAGCCUGUGAAAACCCUAGCCGCCUUUUCCCCACUCGCCCAAUCCCUGCAUCCUCUUCCUCCCCCAAUCGCCCGCUCCUCCUCUUCUUCCCCGCAGCGCUCCACCUCCCACCUCUCUCCUCCCGCCCCUCCCUCUCCCUCGGAGACCGAUGGCGCCGGCCCUUGCACGUGCCAUCUGCGUCGCCGUCCCCUCCAUCUCCCCGUAGAUCAGGCGCACCAGGACGAGCAAGAAGCCCUCAACAUGAUGCCAUUUCCCCGGCCGCCGGAGACGCGGAGGCGGAAGAGCGGCGGCUGGCCGGCCCUGGAUUACUGCAGGUUGCACCAGCCGUGGGCGACGGUAGCCCGCACAAGCAGCAGAGGACAUCCCCCCACAUCAAGCUCACAUCUGGAGUUGCAGCCAAUGAUGCGAAGGGGAGCAACCUAGGCAUGCCCGACCCCGACCAGGAUGACGCAUAACAAAAGGUUGCUUGUCGAGUGUUGCAGCAAGGGUGUUUCAAGAGAUGGGUGAUAAAUUCAGAACAUGAGGCUGUUGCUUUUGUGUUAUUCUUCAUUCAUCAUGUGGCCUUGUUAGAAAUGGCUUCGUUAAAUGAUCAUGUGUUGCCUCCAAGCUGCGUCAGAGGGUGACUCCGAAGGCUGCCACCAAAGAUAUGAAAGAGGACAAUGAGCAAGGGUAAUUUCCUUCUCUUCCUCUUGAUCGCUCACUCUUUCUCUAUUUAAUCCCCAUGGAUUCUCAGCUUUGUUUUAUAUUCAUAGGCCAGAUUGGCAUUCAUGUUAGCAUGUAUGUGCCUUCUCAGUGGCAUGGUAACUGAAAUUCCACUUUCUAAUGAUUUAUUUGUUUGUUGCUAGAUUUUUUCAUUGCAUCUAAAUAUCCAAUAGCAAUGCCAAUGUAUAUAUAUUUUAUAUAGAUAAAUCUUAUUCCAGGUUAGGCAUUUUGUUGGCAGGAUCAUGUUUUUUUUUCGGUGGGAGCCAAAAAUGUUUCUAUCAAACUCAUACAAGGUACCUGACUCACCUUCUCACAUAAUAUCUAUUGAAAGAACAAUGAACAUUGAAGAGUAGGCCGCAGUUCAUACCCAUUUUUGUAUUUUCCUAAACAAAAAUGUAAAAGUAAUCCAGUAGGACUCCGUUGAAUUUUAUUGGCAUGCUAAGGUUAGUACAAUGCCAAUUUAUCUUUGCUGUGUUGUAAAAGUUUGAAGCUGAUUAAUUAGUACCGUGGGCUGUUUUAGAUUUUUUUUUUGUCUCAGCUUGGCAAAUCAAUCCUGAUUCUAAAUUAGUUCAAAGGUGUUUAUGUUUAUCUUUGCCUAGAGUUAUGUGUAUUGAGGUGCUAUUAUAUACCUAGAACAAAAUCCAGGUGUUUAUGUUUAGCUUUUCCUACAACUUUUUUUGUAUUUGCAUAUAGUUGAUUAGUUAGUAUCGGCGUGACUGUUAUCAAGCUGCUAUAUAGACCUGGAAUAAAGCAAGCUUGUUUUUUAAUGGUUCUUGAGAGCAUGUUUCGUUGAGUCGGUACAAAUAGAUUUGUUUAUCUAUUCUAUAAUGUUGCUAUGUACAAAACUUUAUAGCUAAGGACAGUAGUAUAUAGGCAGGGAGAUUUAUUUUUUACAGUUUCAUAAGAGUUAGAAGUUUGUUGGUUAUAUCAGAGUUACUAUGUGCUUCGGCUUCUUGUGGUCAUAUUUUAUUGUUCAGAUGCAGAUUCCAGGCCGGAUUAGAUUCAUGUAUAGCUUAGUGCUGAUGAUUGUGCUACUAUGUUCCAGUCAAACAAGCUGUAACAGAGGUCUCCUAUAUUAUUAUGAUCAUGUAGCUACUAGAAUCUCAGAUUAACUGUUAUGCCAGCAGAGGAAAAUCUCAUACAGUUUUUCCCGUUUGCUCACAUCUUCUGACCAAUAGCUGAUCACUUAUUCCUUUGUCCUUUCUGUGAUAAUGUUAAUCUGGCGACCACUUGUUAUUCCUCUGUCCAUUGUAUUUUUUUGUCUGGUCUAUUGUUUGCAAACUCUUCGGCUCGAAAUCUUUCAUAUAUCUGUCGAAAGCUUUGUUUCCUGGACUAAACAAAAGCGGGAGCGUUUUUUGUAUUCAGGUUUGGAUUGUCUUUACUGCUGACUGGUGGAACUUAUGGACUACCAGAAAUAAGUUCAUUUUUUUAGAAAAGAUGUCUUAAGAAUCCCACUGAUGCUAUCUAUCAAAUAUUAUUUCUUCUGCAGCAAUGUGUUGUUUUAUGGAGCAAGACGAAUAGGCUGAUAUUCCAGGGGGUGUUGCAGCAUUCUAAGAAGACUGUCUCGAGAUUGAAAAGCAUGUCCUUUAACUGUUUGAAUGUCCUAUGUAUUCUGAACUUGGUGGUUUUGGUCUGGCAGUGGUGUUUUAAUAGUGUGUUAGACCUGCUAUUUCUUCACGUUGCUCUUCAUUUGUAAACGCUGGUGUUCCCAGCUUAUGUAAGACUCUGUCUGCUUCCUUAUAAAGCAGGGCUAAAUGCAUUUGAUGGGAAAAUGUCUGACUAGGGGAUAGGAGUGAGUGACUAAGACCGAUUGGCGUCCAAGUGAAGACUUGAUAAGUUUACUAGGCGAAGCUGCCAUGAACAUAUUGAACUGGACAUGUUCAUUCUGUUAUUUUGAUAAGAAAUAUUGUUGAUCAUGCUGCACAAUUUUAAUUUUUUGAAAGCUCCACCAUAUACCAUAUGAAACUCAAUUUGUCCAUCAAAUAUUUGUCUACGCUUUCUCAUCAUUGGUAACUUGUGGUUUGUGCUGGAUCUAGGAAAAUAGAUACGGAGAGACUGAAGAUUAUAUACAUGAAGUGGGUGUUGCCAUGGCAGAUUGUGAGCUACUACAGAUUAAGCACUUCUUUUCAGUUUUCCUUUCUUAAGAAUAACCACCAUUUAUUCAUACCAUGUUUAAUAUGAGGUAGUUUGUCUUCAUGGAAGCCAGGGAUUCAUAUAGAUCAGCGGAACAUUGGUAUAGAAUUGGCUUCACUGAACUGAGGUCUCAAGUCGCACCUCCUCUAGAUAAUGGUCCUCUCUUUGGGCACAAUGCACAACCCUCCAGUAUUCUUAUUACACGAAUUGGAACUAACACUCCUCUUUAAGUCUGAAGUAAACAAUGUAAAUCCUUAGAAUUAACAGAGUAAUCUAAAUCGUGCAUGCAGAUUUUCUAAUACCAUUUAUUGUUCAUCGAACAAGAUGGUGUAGGAUGAUGGUAUCAGAGGUGGCUGUGCAGAUCAAGCCAACGACCGUGGAGACACAUAUAUUUAGCAGAUACAAGGCAUGCCAACAUUUAAAACUCCUUCAUUACCCCGUUGGUAUAUCAAUAUCGACAUUCCAGAAAUGACAGCCAUCUGACGGAGGUAUAUCAUGAUUUCUGGCACAAUUAAGAGACCACUGUAUCUGAUCUACAUUGGCCCGGACCUUCCAACUCAAGAAGGUUAGAGAUUUUGCUUCGGAGUACAAUAUGAGAAAUAUGUUGCUUUCCUAAUUAGAAAGGUUGUGGCAGAAGAAUACAUGCAUCUACUAGCUAUAUUUUCUUGAGACUUUCGUAUAUGUAACAAUCAUGUAUAUAUGGCAGUGUUCUUUUUUCUAGCUUAAGACUACCAUUGAUGUGUAUUUCCCUGUGCUUUCCAAUAUAACCUUUAUGUAUGUAGGAGCAAUGUGAUUUGCUCUUACUAAGACUACCAUUGGUAUGUAUUUCUAUGUGUUUCCAGAGAU